This 539-nucleotide ribosomal RNA is filed under the name uncultured bacterium. RNAcentral's name for it is "bacterial SSU rRNA". It matches the Rfam family "Bacterial small subunit ribosomal RNA", at positions 109 to 629 of the family's 1533-position model. The record is from RNAcentral.
AGUAACACGUGGGUGACCUACCUUCGAGUGGGGGAUAACGUCCCGAAAGGGACGCUAAUACCGCAUAACAUCCCGUCCUUGAACGGAUGGAGAUCAAAGCCGGGGAUCGUAAGACCUGGCGUUUGAAGAGGGGCCCGCGUCUGAUUAGCUAGUUGGUGGGGUAACGGCUCACCAAGGCGACGAUCAGUAUCCGGCCUGAGAGGGCGGACGGACACACUGGGACUGAGACACGGCCCAGACUCCUACGGGAGGCAGCAGUGGGGAAUUGUUCGCAAUGGGCGCAAGCCUGACGACGCAACGCCGCGUGGAGGAUGAAGGUCUUCGGAUUGUAAACUCCUGUUGCCCGGGACGAAAAGCUUCAACUUAAUACGUUGAAGUCUGACGGUACCGGGUGAGGAAGCCCCGGCUAACUCUGUGCCAGCAGCCGCGGUAAUACAGAGGGGGCAAGCGUUGUUCGGAAUUACUGGGCGUAAAGGGCGCGUAGGCGGCCUGUUAAGUCAAACGUGAAGUCCCCGGCCUCAACCCGGGAACUGCGUCCG